UACGAAGGGUGCAAGCGUUACUCGGAAUUACUGGGCGUAAAGCGUGCGUAGGCGGUUUGUUAAGUCUGUCGUGAAAGCCCUGGGCUCAACCUGGGAAUUGCGAUGGAUACUGGCAAGCUAGAGUACGGUAGAGGAUGGUGGAAUUCCCGGUGUAGCGGUGAAAUGCGUAGAGAUCGGGAGGAACACCCGUGGCGAAGGCGGCCAUCUGGACCAGUACUGACGCUCAUGCACGACAGCGUGGGGAUCAAACAGG
Molecule: ribosomal RNA, 253 nt
Filed under: uncultured bacterium
Lineage: Bacteria
Description: partial 16S ribosomal RNA
Rfam family: Bacterial small subunit ribosomal RNA
Source: RNAcentral